Molecule: non-coding RNA, 56 nt
Organism: Triticum aestivum (bread wheat)
Lineage: Eukaryota; Viridiplantae; Streptophyta; Magnoliopsida; Poales; Poaceae
Source: Rfam
GCUCAGUUGGUAGAGUACAAAGCUCUUAACCUUGUGGACGUGGGUUCGAGCCCCAU